ACUGCUCAGUAACACGUGGAUAACCUGCCCUGCGGUGGGAAAUAACCCCGGGAAACUGGGGAUAAUGUCCCAUAGGCUACGGGUGCUGGAAUGCUCUGUAGCUCAAAGAUUUAUCGCCACAGGAUGGGUCUGCGGCCGAUUAGGUAGUUGUUGGGGUAACGGCCCAACAAGCCUUUGAUCGGUACGGGUUGUGGGAGCAAGAGCCCGGAGAUGGAUUCUGAGACACGAAUCCAGGCCCUACGGGGCGCAGCAGGCGCGAAAACUUUACAAUGCGGGAAACCGUGAUGAGGGGACACCGAGUGCCAGCAUCAUAUGCUGGCUGUCCGGGUGUGUAAAAUACACCUGUUAGCAAGGGCCGGGCAAGACCGGUGCCAGCCGCCGCGGUAACACCGGCGGCCCGAGUGGUGAUCGUGAUUAUUGGGUCUAAAGGGUCCGUAGCCGGUUUGGUCAGUCCUCCGGGAAAUCUGAUAGCUCAACUAUUAGGCUUUCGGGGGAUACUGCCAGGCUUGGAACCGGGAGAGGUAAGAGGUACUACAGGGGUAGGAGUGAAAUCUUGUAAUCCCUGUGGGACCACCUGUGGCGAAGGCGUCUUACCAGAACGGGUUCGACGGUGAGGGACGAAAGCUGGGGGCACGAACCGGAUUAGAUACCCGGGUAGUCCCAGCCGUAAACGAUGCUCGCUAGGUGUCAGGCAUGGCGCGACCGUGUCUGGUGCCGCAGGGAAGCCGUGAAGCGAGCCACCUGGGAAGUACGGCCGCAAGGCUGAAACUUAAAGGAAUUGGCGGGGGAGCAC
Molecule: ribosomal RNA, 793 nt
Filed under: uncultured archaeon
Lineage: Archaea
Description: bacterial SSU rRNA
Rfam family: Archaeal small subunit ribosomal RNA
Source: RNAcentral